RNAcentral lists this ribosomal RNA (492 nucleotides) under uncultured bacterium. Its description in RNAcentral is "partial 16S ribosomal RNA". It matches the Rfam family "Bacterial small subunit ribosomal RNA", at positions 30 to 507 of the family's 1533-position model. The record is from RNAcentral.
AUUGAACGCUGGCGGCAUGCUUUACACAUGCAAGUCGAACGGUAACAGGCCUUCGUUUGCUGACGAGUGGCGAACGGGGGCGUAAUGCAUCGGAACGUGUCCCGUGGCUGGGGGAAACGCAUCGAAAGCUGUGCUAAGACCUCAUAUGGUCUGAUGAUUUAAGCGGCGUAGCAAACUACAAAGAUUGGCCUCUCCCCUCUGUAACGGCCGAUGUCAGAUUAGGUAGUUGGUUGGGUAAAGGCCUACCAAGCCGACGAUGUGUAGCUGGUCUGAGAGGACGAUCAGCCACACUGGAACUGAGACACGGCCCAGACUCCUACGGGAGGCAGCAGUGGGGAAUUUUGGACAAUGGGCGAAAGCCUGAUCCAGCAACGCCGCGUGAGGGAAGAAGGCCUUCGGGUUGUAAAACGCUUUUGUAAGGAACGAAAAGGUUUUGGCUAAUACAUGCGGCUGAUGACGGUACCAUAAGAAAAAGCACCGGCUAACUACGUG